UUCCAUGCUUCCAAGAAGAGCAUCUAGAGAGAGAAGUAGUGCCCGUACCGCAAACCGACACAGGUAGAUGAGGAGAGAAUCCUAAGGCCGGCGGAAGAAUUGCAGUUAAGGAACUAGGCAAAUUGACCCCGUAAGUUAGCGAGAAGGGGUGCCUGCGAGAGCAGGCCGCAGAGAAUAGGCCCAAGCAACUGUUUAGCAAAAACACAGGUCUCUGCUAAAGCGCAAGCUGAUGUAUAGGGGCUGACGCCUGCCCGGUGCUGGAAGGUUAAGGGGAACACUUAGCGCAAGCGAAGGUAUGAACUUAAGCCCCAGUAAACGGCGGCCGUAACUAUAACGGUCCUAAGGUAGCGAAGUUCCUUGUCAGGUAAGUUCUGACCCGCACGAAUGGCGUAAUGACUUGGGUACUGUCUCAACUGCAAAUCCGGCGAAGUUGUAGUGCGAGUGAAGAUGCUCGCUACCCGCGAUUGGACGGAAAGACCCCGUAGAGCUUUACUGUAGCUUAGCAUUGAAUUCCGGUAUUGUCUGUACAGGAUAGGUGGGAGACUGGGAAACUAGGGCGUCAGCCUUAGUGGAGUCGUCCUUGGGAUACCACCCUGACAGUACUGGGGUUCGAACAGGACGCCAUGAAUCUGGUGACUGGACAUUGUUAGGUGGGCAGUUUGACUGGGGCGGUCGCCUCCUAAAAAGUAACGGAGGCGCCCAAAGGUUCCCUCAGAACGGUCGAAAAUCGUUCGUAGAGUGCAAAGGCAGAAGGGAGCCUGACUGCGAGACCUACAAGUCGAGCAGGGACGAAAGUCGGGCUUAGUGAUCCGGUGGUACCUCGUGGGAGGGCCAUCGCUCAACGGAUAAAAGCUACCUCGGGGAUAACAGGCUGAUCUCCCCCAAGAGUCCACAUCGACGGGGAGGUUUGGCACCUCGAUGUCGGCUCGUCGCAUCCUGGGGCUGUAGUAGGUCCCAAGGGUUGGGCUGUUCGCCCAUUAAAGCGGCACGCGAGCUGGGUUCAGAACGUCGUGAGACAGUUCGGUCCCUAUCCGUCGCGGGCGUAGGAAAUUUGAGAGGAGCUGUCCUUAGUACGAGAGGACCGGGAUGGACUGACCUCUGGUGCACCAGUUGUUCUGCCAAGAGCAUGGCUGGGUAGCUAAGUCGGGAAGGGAUAAACGCUGAAAGCAUCUAAGCGUGAAGCCUCCCUCAAGAUGAGAUUUCCCAUAGCAUAAGCUAGUAAGACCCCUUGAAGAACACGAGGUUGAUAGGUCAGAGGUGUAAGUGUGGUAACAUAUUUAGCUGACUGAUACUAAUAGGUCGAGGGCUUGACC
This 1313-nucleotide ribosomal RNA is filed under the name metagenome. RNAcentral describes it as "bacterial LSU rRNA". It matches the Rfam family "Bacterial large subunit ribosomal RNA", at positions 1598 to 2925 of the family's 2925-position model. The record is from RNAcentral.